UCUUUGGAGGUGCUCUAAUUUC
Molecule: small nuclear RNA, 22 nt
Filed under: Arabidopsis thaliana (thale cress)
Lineage: Eukaryota; Viridiplantae; Streptophyta; Magnoliopsida; Brassicales; Brassicaceae
Description: snRNA_05869
Source: RNAcentral